CGCUGCCCAUGCGCCGCGAGGCGGGGGCCGGGCCGGGGCUGCCGCGCCUCUCCCGACACCGCCCAGCGCCCGCCCCGAGCGCCCCCGGCAAGGAGAGAGGAUGGCGGAGAGUGAGGCCGAAACCCCCAGCACGCCCGGGGAGUUCGAGAGCAAGUACUUCGAAUACAAUGGGGUGCGGCUGCCGCCCUUCUGCCGCGGGAAGAUGGAGGAGAUCGCCAAUUUCCCGGUGAGGGACAGCGACGUCUGGAUUGUCACCUACCCCAAAUCAGGCACAGGCUUACUACAGGAAGUGGUAUAUCUAGUGAGUCAGGGAGCUGAUCCAGAUGAGAUUGGACUAAUGAAUAUAGAUGAACAACUUCCAGUCCUAGAGUACCCUCAGCCUGGUCUGGACAUCAUUAAGGAACUGACAUCUCCUCGCCUUAUAAAAAGCCACCUACCAUAUCGGUUUUUGCCUUCGGACCUACAUAAUGGUAAUUCAAAGGUAAUAUACAUGGCUCGCAACCCCAAAGACCUGGUGGUGUCUUAUUACCAGUUUCACCGCUCCCUAAGGACCAUGAGCUACAGAGGAACAUUUCAGGAGUUCUGCAGAAGGUUUAUGAAUGACAAGUUAGGAUAUGGUUCGUGGUUUGAACAUGUGCAAGAGUUUUGGGAACAUCACAUGGAUGCCAAUGUACUUUUUCUCAAGUAUGAAGAUAUGCAUAAGGACCUAGCAACAAUGGUCGAGCAACUGGUGAGGUUCUUAGGAGUUUCUUAUGACAAAGCACAGUUGGAAUCCAUGGUGGAACACUGCCAUCAACUCAUUGAUCAGUGCUGUAAUGCAGAAGCACUUCCUGUUGGCAGGGCACAUUGAUCUUUACUCUGAAGAUAACCCUGAGCUGCUGUGAAAGCAGAACAAUGAUUAGAUAUCUUACAUAUAUUUGACUCUUAUCACAUCAUAAUUUACACAGUUGCAUGAUUCAAAUCAUAAACCAGUUGAACAGGCCUGGAUUUUGUCUUUAUCUCCAACAUAAAUGAAAAAAGAUUUGAGCCUCUCAGACUAAUUAUUCACCAACAAGUAACCCUGGCUGACUGAGUUAAACAAGUUUUGAACUGCAGUGAAACAGUGGUUUAAGGGGGCUACAGCCUUGAACUGGACGAGUUGGGCUAUGGAAAGACAUCUUCACUGUUUCAAUGAAUGAGAAAUUUGAUUUGGUUUAUAAACAGAAGAUGGGAAAAUGUGACCUCAUGUUUGAUUUUUAUUUAUAAAAAAUGCAUGCAUAUGAUAUCCAAAUAUAGCUAGAGUGCAUUCAUUUAUUGAUUACUUGCUGGACAAAAUACUGUAGCUAUUAUGUGUGACAAGAUUUAAAGAAAGAAAAACAAUCUAAGUAAACCGUAUCAGAUACAAUUAUCUUUUAUCCUAUGCAGCUGUUUAUCUUCUGGUAUUUUAAUCCUUUGUCCACAUGCAAGAACUUCCUAGACAAUACUAGAAUAUUCAGCUGUUAUGGAAUGUAUUAUAGACGUAUAAGGUAUGUAUCAUAUAUGCAACUAGAAUGUACACCUUUUCAGCCCCACAUUGAUUAUUUAAUGUGUUUUAUAAAAGCUUUUCACUAGAACCUAAAUAAAUGUCCAUAAACCAAAUAAAAAAUCAUUUCAGUGGGAAACGAGUAACAGGCCAAAAUUGUAUGUUAGAAUGAUCUCAGGGGUUAAUUGUCACAUUUAUUUUUAUAGCAGGUAUAUCAAGUAUAAAUAAAUCCCAUUCCAAAAUAGUAACUGAUCAAGGUGGGGUUCACAUUAGGUUCUGCACAUCCUUUUCUCUGUAAUUUGAGUAGGUUCUGUGCACUGGCAUAUUUGGCAAGACAAGCCUUGUUAUGAAAUAUAGCUGUGAUUGUCACAGUAGUCCCAAAACCCACCAGUGCUUUCAUGUAUGACAGCACACAGCUGUCUUCCUGAUGGAUACAGUUCAACUCCAUGCCAAAGGUCAGCAAACAGAAGCUUUUUAAGCCCCUGACUCUAAUUCAGCCCUUCAAAAUGGGGUUUAAAAGGCAUCUGGUGCAGGUUCCAUCUUGAGGAAUCGGAGACUCUGACCCGCGUUGGUUUCCUGUUUAGAUGUGAAUUUCACCCACUAGGUACAGUAAGAGAAGAUAAAGCGGUUGUUAUCCUCUAAUUCCACUUGGUGCUGUUUAUGGUUUGUGCUAGUAGGCUCCACCAGACCUAAGUAGAAGAUGAAUAUACUUUCCAGUGUAAACAGGCAGAAGAACUGGCAGCGCCGAAGGAAUGGAGUUUAAAAAUCUACCACCAGGUGGGAGUAUUGCACAAAUAUUCAUGCAGAAUACAGUUUCAGUAAUUGUUGGCCAUGACUGGUCUGGGUUAUAAUGAGGGUUCAAGUUUAUUUCCGUAUCUUUUUUUAUUCUCUACAACAAGCAACAAACAGCCUGAAGCAGGCUACCAUUAAUAUAAAACUCUCCAGAGUUACUUUAUUAUUCUGCUAGGUAAUGACAUAUAUGCUUUUUAGGCCCGUUUUUGCUAGUCAAAUAUUCAGGCUCACUAAAAGCUGUGAGGAACGACUAGCAGAUUUUUAGUGUUUCAGUUCUGUUGGGAAACAAAUGGUCAGUUCAACGACUGGCAAGUGGUGUAGCAUGAUGUGGCUUUGACAGCACUUUUCCUUGUAUAUUUGUGAGUGAAAAUGCUUUCAGUGAAAUUUUAUUUCUAUUUUUAUAUUUUUAGUACUGUAUGACUAUUAAGCACUACACAUUAUACUUCUGUGCUUGCUUGCUUAUUGAAUAAAAGUUGUG
RNA transcript from Cuculus canorus (common cuckoo), 2771 nucleotides. It is a transcript of the gene named sulfotransferase family 4A member 1, with no coding region annotated. The record is from RefSeq and is a predicted model, not a curated record. The transcript is spliced from 9 exons. Lineage: Eukaryota; Metazoa; Chordata; Aves; Cuculiformes; Cuculidae.